UGAGGAAUAUUGGGCAAUGGACGCAAGUCUGACCCAGCCAUGCCGCGUGCAGGAUGAACGUUCUAUGAAUCGUAAACUGCUUUUCUACGGGGCUAAAAAUCUCUACGUGUAGGGAUCUGAAGGUACUGUAGGAAUAAGCAUCGGCUAACUCCGUGCCAGCAGCCGCGGUAAUACGGAGGAUGCAGGCGUUAUCCGGAUUUAUUAGGUUUAAAGGGUGCGUAGGCGGGAAAAUAAGUCAGUGGUGAAAUCCUACAGCUUAACUGUAGAACUGCCAUUGAAACUGUUAUCCUUGAAUGUGGUUGAGGUGGGCGGAAUGUGUAAUGUAGCGGUGAAAUGCAUAGAUAUUACACAGAACACCGAUUGCGAAGGCAGCUCACUAAGCCAUGAUUGACGCUGAGGCACGAAAGCGUGGGGAGCAAACAGG
This 424-nucleotide ribosomal RNA is filed under the name uncultured bacterium. RNAcentral describes it as "bacterial SSU rRNA". It matches the Rfam family "Bacterial small subunit ribosomal RNA", at positions 355 to 776 of the family's 1533-position model. The record is from RNAcentral.